GUCUUAAUCAUCCUGGGGGCGCAAGUGCAAAGUGCCAGGGCACAGCGCAGAGGUUCCAGAAGACCCUUGGAUCCCUUCUCUGAGGCCGUGUACGAGGAGAUUGAUUAUAACCUGAUGAGAGAGAAGCAGGAGCUGUUCAGUCGCUCAGUCUCCUAUUCAGAUGACUCAGUGAUGAAGCUGCAGUAUUACACCGGGGACAGCGAGGGGGAAAACGAACCUGGAUCAGAACAAGAGGGAGCUUCCCCAGGGGGGUCUCAGCUGGAUUACGAUAACGUGGAGGAGCCUGCCUUGAACGACGUCCCCCAGACUCCAGACAGCCGAGAUGCCCCUGCCGUGCCUGGAGAUGUCCUAGGGAAUGGUUAUGAUGAUGCCAGAGAAGUGUCUAACACUGAAGGUGACCCUCAUUGGGGGCAGAAUAAUGAGAAAGGCACUGGAGCGAAUGACAAGGAUUCACAGACAGGUUGGAGUCGGCACUCGCUAAGGAGUGAAGUUGUCUCUGGGAUGGAGAAGGACUCCCCAUCCCUGCCUCCUGGAGACACAGGUUAUGAUGAUGUGGGACAUGGUGACUCUGGGGGUUCAAUAUCAUAACAAUUUGAUUGGACAAAAUAUCCUCGUGAUGAUGUAAACGCUUCACCUCUUUCUCUCAGAAAUGAAGCCCAGAGAAAGUCUCUGCCUGGUAGAUAGACAAAGCAGGUGUUUUUGUAGGAUUUGUGUGAAUUUGCAGGAAAUACAAGAGUGAGUGGGGAAAGUGUCAUAAGCUUUCUUUGUAUAAUUUCCCAUUGUUUGGAGGGGGUGGAAGUGUCCUGCUUUUUUAUGCCUAUAAUUUCUUCAGCUUGACUUUGUGCCUUUUUCAUAUUAAAUCCUUUCUGA
This 870-nucleotide long non-coding RNA is filed under the name Gopherus evgoodei (Goodes thornscrub tortoise). RNAcentral describes it as "lncRNA (ENSGEVG00005017503.1)". Lineage: Eukaryota; Metazoa; Chordata; Testudines; Testudinidae. The record is from RNAcentral.